GGAAGAAAACAGCCCAAAGAUGAGAGUGAUUCGCGUGGGUACCCGCAAGAGCCAGCUUGCUCGCAUACAGACGGACAGUGUGGUGACAACAUUGAAAGCCUCAUACCCUGGCCUGCAGUUUGAAAUCAUUGCUAUGUCCACCACAGGGGACAAGAUUCUUGAUACUGCACUCUCUAAGAUUGGAGAGAAAAGCCUGUUUACCAAGGAGCUUGAACAUGCCCUGGAGAAGAAUGAAGUGGACCUGGUUGUUCACUCCUUGAAGGACCUGCCCACUGUGCUUCCUCCUGGCUUCACCAUCGGAGCCAUCUGCAAGCGGGAAAACCCUCAUGAUGCUGUUGUCUUUCACCCAAAAUUUGUUGGGAAGACCCUAGAAACCCUGCCAGAGAAGAGUGUGGUGGGAACCAGCUCCCUGCGAAGAGCAGCCCAGCUGCAGAGAAAGUUCCCGCAUCUGGAGUUCAGGAGUAUUCGGGGAAACCUCAACACCCGGCUUCGGAAGCUGGACGAGCAGCAGGAGUUCAGUGCCAUCAUCCUGGCAACAGCUGGCCUACAGCGCAUGGGCUGGCACAACCGGGUGGGGCAGGUAGGGCCUGCCCCUAUCCUCUCCCCAGCUCAUCUGCAUCUCCUUUCUGCCUUACAGUCAUCCCCAAUUUAGGAUUUUUAGACUUUAUGAUUGUGUGAAAGCGAUAUACGUUCAG
This 695-nucleotide small RNA is filed under the name Pan troglodytes (chimpanzee). Its description in RNAcentral is "retained intron". The record is from RNAcentral. Lineage: Eukaryota; Metazoa; Chordata; Mammalia; Primates; Hominidae.